Molecule: long non-coding RNA, 1524 nt
Organism: Passer montanus (Eurasian tree sparrow)
Lineage: Eukaryota; Metazoa; Chordata; Aves; Passeriformes; Passeridae
Exons: 4
Source: RefSeq, a predicted model, not a curated record
CCGGCGCUGAGGCGGCGCUCGGAGGGCAGUCGCGGUGUCCGCGCCGGUACCGGCGCUUCUGUUGUACUGGCGAAGCUCGGUCUCGUCGUUCUUACCUGUGCACUAGACCAGCCAGUCAGCUGGAAUUGCGUGACUGUGAUCGGCGCUGCUUUCGUAGUAAAGGGGAGCCCGCAGACGCGGCGAAGGUCACGGUCCCUUCUCCGGCCGUUCCCCGGGGGCCGGCGUGAGGAGGUGGCUGCCUGCGCUGUGGAAGCCUCUCGGUCCCGGUGGCGGGACAGCGGAGCGCAGGCGAAAGUCACUCACAAGACUUUGGUCUAGGAUGACACUUCAUUCCUACAAACCUGACAAGUUUAACAAGUGAUGGCAGCAUCCCCCUAGUUGAGCUCACAGCAUGCUCAGGGGCUGCCUCCUCUGGAGUGACCUGCAUUGCCUCCUCAGUGGCCCAAGUGCAGGGCAUACCUGUGAGCCAGCAGCAAAGCAGACACCAAGGCAGCCUGUGGUGAGAUCCAGGUCUUGUCUUCUGCUGCAAUAUCUCAGUCUUGAAUGAAUGCCAUCCUACCAGCCUCUGUUUGGGCAAUAUGGAAAACAGUGGCCCUGCAGAUUCUUUUAAGCUCUUCAGUGCUGCUAGUGUGGGGGCGAGUGCCAGCCUCCCCGUGGGGCAGAGAGAUGUGACGGCUGCUCCAAGAGCUCCUGCUGUGGAUCUCACUCCCUGAAGCUGGUCCCCUGGGAUGGUGUUUGAACUGCUUUUCUGCCUGCACAGUCCAUGCAGGUCCUCCACAAACCUUGGGCAGCCCAGUGCCUCCUUCCACUCAGUCCAGGCUGGCGUGCACAGCCCCCACAGGUGCAGAUGCUGCUAUGUGAGAGGAGAGAUCCUCCACACUCUCUGGCAUUCCUCAGUCUGGCUUGUGUUAAUUCGACGUUUUGGUGCAGAAGAUGGCCAGUAUUAAAACCCAGACUGCUGCUACUGGGUGUGAAGUGCAGAGAAAUCAGCAUGCUGCUCCUGCCUGAGCUGCGCCCAGGCAGUAAUCGAGAUCACCACCCCGAGAUAAAUCUCUUCCUGCCAUCGGACAGAAGAGAGAAGCAGUACUGUGGGCUUUGCCUCCAGGUUUAUUAUCACGGGGAAACACAUGCAGAUGAAUGGCUCACCCGAUAGCAAUCAGUCGUGCUGGAGCGCUGCCGGCUGCGAUGCAGACACGCGGUGUCUGUGAUCCGCAGGCAGGAGCGAGUUCAGCUCACUCGUGCCUUUGCAGUCGUGUGCAGAGGCUCUCGCUGAGUGCAGCGCCUCUGAACUGGCCUCUGUGCCCAGGCCAUGCUCCUUCCCGCUUGGAUUUUUCAGUCUAACAGCACUGUUGAUCUGGCCUUUUUGUUUGCUCAAUGUCAGCAUUCCUCGGGGAAUGCUGCAGAGCACUAGCAGCUACACAGCAGCCUGAAGGUGGGCUCCCAUAUUAUUUCUUCAUUAACAUUUGUUGUUCAUAAAUAUAUAUUCACUCCUAUUUAUCACAAGAACACCGAUUACAAACCAUA